UGGGUUAUAUUUGUGGAUUGAAAUGGAUUUCGAGCUCUAUAGGUUUUGGGCCCGAAUCUGCAUGUGGACUGGAUUGAGAAAUUUAUUCAUAUGAAGAUUGGAUUUUGAAUUUUUAUUGGUUUUGGACCCGAAUCUGCAUGUGGCUGAGAUGGAUUUCGGGCUCUACGGGUUUUGGGCCCGAAUCUGCUUGUGGACCCGAAUCUGCAUGUGGAUUGAGAAGGAUUUCGGGUUGGGUUGAAUUUAAU
RNAcentral lists this long non-coding RNA (245 nucleotides) under Ananas comosus (pineapple). Its description in RNAcentral is "long non-coding RNA (ACOM_LNC029340)". Lineage: Eukaryota; Viridiplantae; Streptophyta; Magnoliopsida; Poales; Bromeliaceae. The record is from RNAcentral.